Molecule: ribosomal RNA, 540 nt
Filed under: uncultured bacterium
Lineage: Bacteria
Description: bacterial SSU rRNA
Rfam family: Bacterial small subunit ribosomal RNA
Source: RNAcentral
ACUGAAUAGAUACCCGGGUAGUCCACGCCCUAAACGAUGUCAACUAGUUGUCGGGGAUUAACUUCCUUGGUAAACGCAGCUAAACGCGUGAAAGUUGACCGCCUGGGGAGUACGGUCGCAAGAUUAAAACUCAAAGGAAUUGACGGGGACCCGCACAAGCGGUGGAUGAUGUGGAUUAAUUCGAUGCAACGCGAAAAACCUUACCUACCCUUGACAUGUCUGGAACCCUGCUGAGAGGUGGGGGUGCUCGAAAGAGAGCCAGAACACAGGUGCUGCAUGGCUGUCGUCAGCUCGUGUCGUGAGAUGUUGGGUUAAGUCCCGCAACGAGCGCAACCCUUGUCAUUAGUUGCUACGAAAGGGCACUCUAAUGAGACUGCCGGUGACAAACCGGAGGAAGGUGGGGAUGACGUCAAGUCCUCAUGGCCCUUAUGGGUAGGGCUUCACACGUCAUACAAUGGUCGGUACAGAGGGUAGCCAACCCGCGAGGGGGAGCCAAUCCCAGAAAACCCGAUCGUAGUCCGGAUUGCAGUCUGCAACUCG